AAAAUGCCAGGUUCCCUCUCAUCAUGGUUGAUGGCUGCCAGUGUACGUAGUGUACGUAUUACGUCCCUGUGUCAGCGGGAAAUGGUCCAACAGUCAGCCUCGCGUGUGGAGACUUCAGAAGAUGCCAGACCUCACAAAGAUUUCAGAUGAUGGAAACUAUAGAUGAACAUGCAAAGCUGCUAAAUAAUCCUUAUAUUGUAAUAAUUGCCCUAAAAGGGAGGAACUUGUCAGCAAAUCUACUUCACAGCACAUCAGUGAAAGCAGUUGACAGUUACAGACGUGUGUUGGAUCAGGGUCAGAUCUGAAUUCUGCAGGUAGGUAGAUCUCCAGGAACAGGAUUGUACAGACCUGUUAUAUUGGUAAUGUAUGAUGGAUUUUGUUUUUAUUGCAGGUUUCCUGGGAUGACCGUUGAAGAGAUCAGCACAUCAGAUGUUGGCCUGGACAGCUGUACCUACAGUACACCACACUGACUUCUUGGCAUGGAUAGCUGACUACUACUAUUAUGUUCUGUGAAGGUAAUAUUGAAGCAAACCUGAGCACCUGUGACAGUGGAAUAGUUGUAAUGAAUAGUCACACAUGCAUAUUUGUAAAUUUAAAGUCACAGAUACAUUUUUUUGUACUAACAAUAUAUGUUUUUUUUUAACUAAUUCUCUCCAGCAAACACGACAGUUACACCAUUUCAUAUUCUGAGGUGCACAAAUCCUAUUCUACAAAUAAGAGAACAACAGUAUACAAGUGCUCAGUUUAGCCCCUUUCACACUGAGAUUCUAGAUAAUACACAGGUAAUGUGUCCUGGCAAUUGUACCCGGAUCGUUAGAUUUUGGUUCAUUCACACUGCCA
Molecule: long non-coding RNA, 840 nt
Organism: Carassius carassius (crucian carp)
Lineage: Eukaryota; Metazoa; Chordata; Actinopteri; Cypriniformes; Cyprinidae
Exons: 3
Source: RefSeq, a predicted model, not a curated record